AUGAACGCUGGCGGCGUGCCUCAUCCAUGCAAGUCGAGCGAACAGACGAGGAGCUUGCUCCUCUGACGUUAGCGGCGGACGGGUGAGUAACACGUGGAUAACCUACCUAUAAGACUGGGAUAACUUCGGGAAACCGGAGCUAAUACCGGAUAAUAUAUUGCACCGCAUGGUUCAAUAGUGAAAGACGGUUUUGCUGUCACUUAUAGAUGGAUCCGCGCCGCAUUAGCUAGUUGGUAAGGUAACGGCUUACCAAGGCGACGAUGCGUAGCCGACCUGAGAGGGGGACGGGCCCCGGGGGAGAGAGGCAACGGCCCAGGCCCGUAGGGGGGGCAGGAGUGGGGAAUCUGCCGGAAGGGGGGAAAGCUUGACGGGGCAAGGGCGGGGGAGUGAGGAAGGGCUGCGGAUGGGAAACCUCUGUUAUGGGGGAAGAAAAAUUGUGUAAGUAACGAUGCCGGUUUGAAGGGAACCGAAGAAGAAGGCCAGGGUAAAUUCGUG
RNAcentral lists this ribosomal RNA (495 nucleotides) under uncultured bacterium. Its description in RNAcentral is "partial 16S ribosomal RNA". It matches the Rfam family "Bacterial small subunit ribosomal RNA", at positions 29 to 507 of the family's 1533-position model. The record is from RNAcentral.